Jaculus jaculus (lesser Egyptian jerboa) is the source of this 635-nucleotide long non-coding RNA. RefSeq lists it as uncharacterized. The transcript is spliced from 3 exons. NCBI's taxonomy places the organism in Eukaryota, Metazoa, Chordata, Mammalia, Rodentia, Dipodidae. The record is from RefSeq and is a predicted model, not a curated record.
CGGCUCUCCGGACGCGCUCGCGCCCCCGGGGCGCACCGUGCGGCUGGCGGCCCGAGAGUCCCUACGACCUUUCCCGCUGGCCGGCUAGACCGACCCCGCUGCUCCGAGUAAGCAGUGCAGGUGUGUAUUGCACACAUUAAACGGCACCCGAAUAAUGCAGGCGAAUCAGGAAUCAUUGGUUUACAUGCCCAGCAUCUACAAAUCGGAAUCUCUUGAGCAAGCAAACAUAUAUUCCACACCUCACACACCAAUGCGGACAGUUUUACUUCAAGCGUGAAAAGGAAACAGAGCCCAUGCCAGCCCCAUUUUAUCUUCACAUUUUCACUCCUUGGUUCCAACUUCUAAACAGCUAUGGCUUUGUUUUUGGCGGUUUCAAAAGAAGAGUAGGAAAAGGUUUUGAUACAUUUUAUAUAAGAAGUCCAAAUAAGUGUAAUAAAAGAAAUAAAAUGAAGUCCACAAAGCUGUUUGAGCAAAGUUGGAAGCCCAUGAGAAAGAUAGAUAUUCACAUUUUGUGAUUGGAUGUCCCUGCAAACAAAGGUCAGAGGCCAGUUUUAUGGAGAUAGUGAAGAGUAAGCCUGGCGUCCCUUACCACUGGUGUCCCUACUGCCAUAUCCCAGCUGGGAAGAAGGUGUGGU